RNAcentral lists this long non-coding RNA (562 nucleotides) under Lathyrus oleraceus (garden pea). RNAcentral's name for it is "Pisum sativum (pea) long non-coding RNA (PSAT_LNC023495)". The record is from RNAcentral. Lineage: Eukaryota; Viridiplantae; Streptophyta; Magnoliopsida; Fabales; Fabaceae.
UCAUUCAAGAUCAAGAUUCAUAUUCAAGUUCAUUUUCAAAUUCAACUUUGGAGGAAAAAACAUAUUUCUUAAAACACAAGUUACAUACACCAUUCAAGGACCCAUUUCAUUACAAAAUCCAAGAAAUCAAAAUUACACAAAAAAUUACAUCUUUUGACCUAAAGUUAACUUUUGGUCAAACAGUUGACCAAAGUCAAACUACCUAAUCCUGCUUUUUCUUCAUUCACAAGACAUCACAUUUUGUGAUCCUUUGUGUCUCCAAGGUAUUCAAGACUUCUUCAUAUAUCAUGACUUGUUAAACUUCUCCAUGAUCCAUAUCUUGAUUCCAUGCCUUGCCAUUUGAUGACCCUUGCCAAAACCUUCAUGAACAUUGUCUCAUAUCAAGCCAAGUACACUCCUACCAUAUGCACACCAAUCCUGCAAAAUCACACCAACAGACAUACACAUAAUUAGCAUUCAUGCAUUUACACAUCAUGUAAGGCUAACCAUUACAAGUCAUACUCAUUGCAACUUAUGCCAUCCAAACAAGUUGACACACAUAGCUUCAUUCAGUGCAGUUAGC